Molecule: ribosomal RNA, 741 nt
Filed under: uncultured Bacteroidales bacterium
Lineage: Bacteria; Pseudomonadati; Bacteroidota; Bacteroidia; Bacteroidales
Description: bacterial SSU rRNA
Rfam family: Bacterial small subunit ribosomal RNA
Source: RNAcentral
GAUGAACGCUAGCUACAGGCUUAACACAUGCAAGUCGAGGGGCAGCAUGAACUUAGCUUGCUAAGUUUGAUGGCGACCGGCGCACGGGUGAGUAACACGUAUCCAACCUGCCGAUGACUCGGGGAUAGCCUUUCGAAAGAAAGAUUAAUACCCGAUGGCAUAGUUCUUCCGCAUGGUAGAACUAUUAAAGAAUUUCGGUCAUCGAUGGGGAUGCGUUCCAUUAGGUUGUUGGCGGGGUAACGGCCCACCAAGCCUUCGAUGGAUAGGGGUUCUGAGAGGAAGGUCCCCCACAUUGGAACUGAGACACGGUCCAAACUCCUACGGGAGGCAGCAGUGAGGAAUAUUGGUCAAUGGACGAGAGUCUGAACCAGCCAAGUAGCGUGAAGGAUGACUGCCCUAUGGGUUGUAAACUUCUUUUAUACGGGAAUAAAGUGAGGCACGUGUGCCUUUUUGUAUGUACCGUAUGAAUAAGGAUCGGCUAACUCCGUGCCAGCAGCCGCGGUAAUACGGAGGAUCCGAGCGUUAUCCGGAUUUAUUGGGUUUAAAGGGAGCGUAGGCGGACGCUUAAGUCAGUUGUGAAAGUUUGCGGCUCAACCGUAAAAUUGCAGUUGAUACUGGGUGUCUUGAGUACAGUAGAGGCAGGCGGAAUUCGUGGUGUAGCGGUGAAAUGCUUAGAUAUCACGAAGAACUCCGAUUGCGAAGGCAGCUUGCUGGACUGUAACUGACGCUGAUGCUCGAAAG